This 22-nucleotide non-coding RNA is filed under the name Arabidopsis thaliana (thale cress). The record is from RNAcentral. Lineage: Eukaryota; Viridiplantae; Streptophyta; Magnoliopsida; Brassicales; Brassicaceae.
ACGGUUGAUCCUGAUACAUCCA